AGAGGUUGUUGUGGUUUGAAGUUUGUAGCGUGUUGGAUUUGCGAGCGCGAGUGGCCUGCAAGAUAUUUGAGUGUGGCUGUGUAAAAUGAGCAGUCUAGCAGAGCUACAGUCUAGGCAACGGAGGCUGGAGAACGCUGGACGUCCAUCGUGGAGAAUAUGCAGGUGUGAGUAGGUCACCGAUGGGCGUAUAAGCUGGCCCACUGGAUCAAUGCAGGGUCA
Molecule: long non-coding RNA, 219 nt
Organism: Danio aesculapii
Lineage: Eukaryota; Metazoa; Chordata; Actinopteri; Cypriniformes; Danionidae
Exons: 3
Source: RefSeq, a predicted model, not a curated record